This is a transfer RNA of Puccinia graminis f. sp. tritici, 120 nucleotides long. It matches the Rfam family "tRNA". Rfam says of the family: Transfer RNA (tRNA) molecules are approximately 80 nucleotides in length. Their secondary structure includes four short double-helical elements and three loops (D, anti-codon, and T loops). Further hydrogen bonds mediate the characteristic L-shaped molecular structure. tRNAs have two regions of fundamental functional importance: the anti-codon, which is responsible for specific mRNA codon recognition, and the 3' end, to which the tRNAs corresponding amino acid is attached (by aminoacyl-tRNA synthetases). tRNAs cope with the degeneracy of the genetic code in two manners: having more than one tRNA (with a specific anti-codon) for a particular amino acid; and 'wobble' base-pairing, i.e. permitting non-standard base-pairing at the 3rd anti-codon position. The record is from Rfam. Lineage: Eukaryota; Fungi; Basidiomycota; Pucciniomycetes; Pucciniales; Pucciniaceae.
GUCUCCGUGGCGCAAUUGGUUAGCGCGUUCGACUGUUAUGCGAGGUGAAGGUCCCGGUCCGCCUGUACGAGCACAUUGGCAUUCAUCGAGAGGUUGGCAGUUCAAGCCUGCCCGGGGACG